RNAcentral lists this ribosomal RNA (768 nucleotides) under uncultured bacterium. RNAcentral describes it as "bacterial SSU rRNA". It matches the Rfam family "Bacterial small subunit ribosomal RNA", at positions 8 to 796 of the family's 1533-position model. The record is from RNAcentral.
AGAGUUUGAUCAUGGCUCAGGAUAAACGCUGGCGGCGUGCCUAACACAUGCAAGUCGAACGCGGAAAGUGCGGGUAACUGCGCUUUCUGAGUGGCGGACGGGUGAGGAACACGUGGGUUAUCUACCUUGAGGUGAGGAAUACCGGCGAGAAAUCGCCGACAAUACCGCAUACGUUUGGAAACAAACAAAGUUGAGGCAACUCAACGCCACAAGAUGAGCCUGCGGCCGAUUAUGCUGGUUGGUGGGGUAAAGGCCUACCAAGGCGACGAUCGGUAGCUGGUCUGAGAGGACGAUCAGCCACACUGGGAUUGAGAACGGCCCAGACUCCUACGGGGGGCAGCAGUGAGGAAUUUUCGUCAAUGGGGGCAACCCUGAACGAGCAACGCCGCGUGCAGGAAGAAGGUUUUCGGAUCGUAAACUGCUUUUCUUAGGGAAGAGAACGGACGGUACCUAAGGAAGAAGCCCCGGCUAACUACGUGCCAGCAGCCGCGGUAAUACGUAGGGGGCAAGCGUUGUCCGGAUUUAUUGGGCGUAAAGGGCGUGCAGGCGGUCUUAAUAGUUUCAAGUGACAGGUGGGGGCUUAACUCCCACAGGCCGUGGAAAACUGUAAGACUUGAGGACUUCAGAGGGAUGCGGAAUUCCAGGUGGAGCGGUGAAAUGCGUAGAGAUCUGGAAGAACACCAAAGGCGAAGGCAGCAUCCUGGGAAGAACCUGACGCUGAGGCGCGAAAGCUAGGGGAGCGAACGGGAUUAGAUACCCUAGUAGUCC